GGGGGCAUAGCUCAGCUGGUAGAGCGGCUGCCUUGCACGCAGCAGGUCGGCGGUUCGACUCCGCCUGUCUCCA
Molecule: transfer RNA, 73 nt
Filed under: Candidatus Comchoanobacter bicostacola
Lineage: Bacteria; Pseudomonadati; Pseudomonadota; Gammaproteobacteria; Candidatus Comchoanobacterales; Candidatus Comchoanobacteraceae
Description: tRNA-Ala
Rfam family: tRNA
About the family: Transfer RNA (tRNA) molecules are approximately 80 nucleotides in length. Their secondary structure includes four short double-helical elements and three loops (D, anti-codon, and T loops).
Source: RNAcentral